GAAGGACCUUGAGAGAGUGCGCUGUUCUCCAACUUCUGUAUUAAGUCUCUUUGUAUCAAGUCUUUAGCAGAAUGUUUCUCAGGCCAUCCUGGCUUUGUGCUGUUCUUCAGCAAUCGAACAGAUCCUGCAAUUUCAACAGAAAACUGCUGAGGUUCACAGACUCAUCUGUCUGGCCUCAAAGCGUGAUGGUCUCAGGUGAUUGGGCCAAGACACCCAUUAGUGUGAGCGAAGCAAAUGUAUUCGUGAGGGGCCCCGGGGGUCUCCACCGUGUCUUUGAAACCUGGAGGAUGACUUGUCCCUGGGGAUGCUGCUUGCUUUGUCUGAAGAUACAAGUCAUAUUGCAGGGCUUGAAAAACGUGCCUGGCGGUGACAGACUUCUGGAGAUCAAUCUGAUUAGCUUAUCAAAGGGAAGAUUAGAAAGCAACCUGAUCGUGCUGUUUAAAUAUGUUCACAGAGAGCGUGCGAGGUACAAAGUAAUUUUUAAUCUCGUGGAGAAAGGUAUGACAGGAGCUGGGGUCUGCAGGCAGGAGCCACACCGAGCAGGGAAGCCAGGCUGAGAAAAGAAAUGGUUCAAAUGCUUAAUGAAGGAAAAUGCAUCAUCUGUGUGCAUCAUCGGGCAUUGCAGUUAGAGCAGCUCCUCCUGGGCACAGCAGCCGUGGAACAGUUUUGCUGUAGUCUUGGCUAAAGGGGUUGGGGCCAAGUA
Non-coding RNA from Meleagris gallopavo (turkey), 703 nucleotides. The record is from RefSeq and is a predicted model, not a curated record. Lineage: Eukaryota; Metazoa; Chordata; Aves; Galliformes; Phasianidae.